RNAcentral lists this ribosomal RNA (1299 nucleotides) under Bacillus pumilus. Its description in RNAcentral is "bacterial SSU rRNA". It matches the Rfam family "Bacterial small subunit ribosomal RNA", at positions 76 to 1358 of the family's 1533-position model. Lineage: Bacteria; Bacillati; Bacillota; Bacilli; Caryophanales; Bacillaceae. The record is from RNAcentral.
GGGGCUGCUCCGGAUGUUAGCGGCGGACGGGUGAGUAACACGUGGGUAACCUGCCUGUAAGACUGGGAUAACUCCGGGAAACCGGAGCUAAUACCGGAUAGUUCCUUGAACCGCAUGGUUCAAGGAUGAAAGACGGUUUCGGCUGUCACUUACAGAUGGACCCGCGGCGCAUUAGCUAGUUGGUGGGGUAAUGGCUCACCAAGGCGACGAUGCGUAGCCGACCUGAGAGGGUGAUCGGCCACACUGGGACUGAGACACGGCCCAGACUCCUACGGGAGGCAGCAGUAGGGAAUCUUCCGCAAUGGACGAAAGUCUGACGGAGCAACGCCGCGUGAGUGAUGAAGGUUUUCGGAUCGUAAAGCUCUGUUGUUAGGGAAGAACAAGUGCGAGAGUAACUGCUCGCACCUUGACGGUACCUAACCAGAAAGCCACGGCUAACUACGUGCCAGCAGCCCGCGGGUAAUACGUAGGUGGGCAAGCGUUGUCCGGAAUUAUUGGGCGUAAAGGGCUCGCAGGCGGGUUCUUAAGUCUGAUGUGAAAGCCCCCGGCUCAACCGGGGAGGGUCAUUGGAAACUGGGAAACUUGAGUGCAGAAGAGGAGAGUGGAAUUCCACGUGUAGCGGUGAAAUGCGUAGAGAUGUGGAGGAACACCAGUGGCGAAGGCGACUCUCUGGUCUGUAACUGACGCUGAGGAGCGAAAGCGUGGGGAGCGAACAGGAUUAGAUACCCUGGUAGUCCACGCCGUAAACGAUGAGUGCUAAGUGUUAUGGGGGUUUCCGCCCCUUAGUGCUGCAGCUAACGCAUUAAGCACUCCGCCUGGGGAGUACGGUCGCAAGACUGAAACUCAAAGGAAUUGACGGGGGCCCGCACAAGCGGUGGAGCAUGUGGUUUAAUUCGAAGCAACGCGAAGAACCUUACCAGGUCUUGACAUCCUCUGACAACCCUAGAGAUAGGGCUUUCCCUUCGGGGACAGAGUGACAGGUGGUGCAUGGUUGUCGUCAGCUCGUGUCGUGAGAUGUUGGGUUAAGUCCCGCAACGAGCGCAACCCUUGAUCUUAGUUGCCAGCAUUCAGUUGGGCACUCUAAGGUGACUGCCGGUGACAAACCGGAGGAAGGUGGGGAUGACGUCAAAUCAUCAUGCCCCUUAUGACCUGGGCUACACACGUGCUACAAUGGACAGAACAAAGGGCUGCAAGACCGCAAGGUUUAGCCAAUCCCAUAAAUCUGUUCUCAGUUCGGAUCGCAGUCUGCAACUCGACUGCGUGAAGCUGGAAUCGCUAGUAAUCGCGGAUCAGGAUGGG